Molecule: transfer RNA, 65 nt
Filed under: Pternoscirta caliginosa
Lineage: Eukaryota; Metazoa; Arthropoda; Insecta; Orthoptera; Acrididae
Description: tRNA-Pro
Source: RNAcentral
CAAGGGUUAGUUUAUUAAAAUAUUGAUUUUGGGAAUCAUUGAUGGAAUUAUUUUUCUACUCUUGA